UACGAAGGGUGCAAGCGUUAAUCGGAAUUACUGGGCGUAAAGCGUGCGUAGGUGGUUUGUUAAGUCUGCUGUGAAAGCCCUGGGCUCAACCUGGGAAUGGCGGUGGAUACUGACAAGCUAGAGUGCGGUAGAGGAGGGUGGAAUUCCCGGUGUAGCGGUGAAAUGCGUAGAUAUCGUUUGGAACGCCAAUGGUGAAAACAGGUAACUGGGAGUGUGCCGACGCUGAGACACGAAAGCCAGGGGAGCGAACGGG
RNAcentral lists this ribosomal RNA (253 nucleotides) under uncultured bacterium. Its description in RNAcentral is "partial 16S ribosomal RNA". It matches the Rfam family "Bacterial small subunit ribosomal RNA", at positions 524 to 776 of the family's 1533-position model. The record is from RNAcentral.